GACGAACGCUGGCGGCGUGCUUAACACAUGCAAGUCGAACGCUGAAGCUUGGUGCUUGCACUGGGUGGAUGAGUGGCGAACGGGUGAGUAAUACGUGAGUAACCUGCCCUUGACUCUGCGAUAAGCCUGGGAAACUGGGUCUAAUACUGGAUAUGACAUGCCACUGCAUGGUGGUGUGUGGAAAGGGUUUUACUGGUUUUGGAUGGGCUCACGGCCUAUCAGCUUGUUGGUGGGGUAAUGGCCUACCAAGGCGACGACGGGUAGCCGGCCUGAGAGGGUGACCGGCCACACUGGGACUGAGACACGGCCCAGACUCCUACGGGAGGCAGCAGUGGGGAAUAUUGCACAAUGGGCGGAAGCCUGAUGCAGCGACGCCGCGUGAGGGAUGACGGCCUUCGGGUUGUAAACCUCUUUCAGCACGGAAGAAGCGAGAGUGACGGUACGUGCAGAAGAAGCGCCGGCUAACUACGUG
Molecule: ribosomal RNA, 472 nt
Filed under: uncultured bacterium
Lineage: Bacteria
Description: partial 16S ribosomal RNA
Rfam family: Bacterial small subunit ribosomal RNA
Source: RNAcentral